This 253-nucleotide ribosomal RNA is filed under the name uncultured bacterium. RNAcentral's name for it is "partial 16S ribosomal RNA". It matches the Rfam family "Bacterial small subunit ribosomal RNA", at positions 524 to 776 of the family's 1533-position model. The record is from RNAcentral.
UACGUAGGGGGCAAGCGUUGUCCGGAAUCAUUGGGCGUAAAGCGCGUGUAGGCGGUUCGGUAAGUCGGCUGUGAAAGUCCAGGGCUCAACCCUGGGAUGCCGUUCGAUACUGCCGGACUAGAGUUCGGAAGAGGCGAGUGGAAUUCCCGGUGUAGCGGUGAAAUGCGCAGAUAUCGGGAGGAACACCAAUGGCGAAGGCAGCUCGCUGGGACGUUACUGACGCUGAGACGCGAAAGCGUGGGGAGCAAACAGG